CAGAGGUUGUGCUGGCAGGGCAGGAUGACCACAGGCUUGGUGAACAUCUCCAAACAGAUGGGGCAGAUCAGCUGUUUCUCCAGGUCAAUGGAGACCAAAGGGCUUGCCCUAGCCUGUGCAGCCACAUCCUGCAGCCUAAUAGACAUUCUGUUGUCAGCGAGCAGCCGUGGCCAUGAGAGGCAGGAUGUCAUUUUGCCCAUGUGUUUUGGGAGGCACCAGGAUCCUACCUUUCCAAGGUGUGAAGUACAUCUGGUUACUGGAGAAGACAAUAGGAGCAAUGGCUGCUCUGGGAGCUUGAACACUUCAGGGUGUAAACAUCUCACCACCCUGAAAACCAACCAAACAAAAUUGCCUGUCUACAACUGUGCUUAAGUUUGUUCUGGUAAGAUUUUGGUCUAAGGAGCUAUAACAUAAAAAUCCAAUGUGACUUCGAGCCAUUUGUGCACAUUAACUCCAUGGGCAGGUUAAAUAUGCAUGAAAAACACCAGAAGAAAUACAGUGUGAAAGGCUUUCAUUUGUGCUGCUAGAGAAUAGGUACUAAUUGUGUAUGUCCUCUCUCCAGUAUUUAAUUCAAAUAUAUUUUCGUUUUGGACACUGCUGUGUUUAUAUCUGUUUAUUAGACCCUGAUAUCCCUUUCAGCUUGGCACUUGUUCCAGAGUUAUUUUUAAAAUGACAAUUUCCCAGAUAAUUUGUGACAUGUGAUGCCUGAUCUUAAGGGAAAGCCAUCUGUGCUUUUACUUGCCAAUAAUUCAUCACACAACUGUACAAGCAAUAAAUAUCUCAUCUUCAAAUUUAAGCCAAAGUCCUUGCAUUACUGUAUAAAAUCACUUUGCCACCAUACUGUGCAUGUAAUCAGAAUAUUUUCUUCUCUUUUAUUCAAUAACUAGAAUACUUUCUCAGUUCAGUGUCUUGUAGAAACCGUUAAUGUUUAUUCUGCCUUAUGACUGUAUAGGGCUUGCGUCUGAAAAAUGCAUUAGAGCAGCUGAGUGAGUGCCCCAUGCAUCCAGGGACAGACCCCCAGUUUUAAAGCAAGGCUGUCAGUCUGCAUGCAACACCAGUCUGGAAACUGUGCACUUUAGGAAAAUAUAAAAGUGAAGGUUUUAAUGGAUUUCUGCAUGAAAAGGAAUACUAUCUUCUGCGUGCAAUUGUAAUAAAUAAUAUUAAAUUAAAUGUA
Taeniopygia guttata (zebra finch) is the source of this 1174-nucleotide non-coding RNA. The record is from RefSeq and is a predicted model, not a curated record. Lineage: Eukaryota; Metazoa; Chordata; Aves; Passeriformes; Estrildidae.